Molecule: long non-coding RNA, 682 nt
Organism: Sinocyclocheilus grahami
Lineage: Eukaryota; Metazoa; Chordata; Actinopteri; Cypriniformes; Cyprinidae
Exons: 2
Source: RefSeq, a predicted model, not a curated record
CAAACACACUUUUCUGUCUUUUUUCCUUCUAUAGUGGGAAUCUAUUGGAGCCACCAACUAUUGGACAGAAGUCAGGGUCAAAGUUCACCAAGGUGGAGAAAAAGACCAUCAGAGGCAAAGGUUAUGACUCGGACUCAGAAUCUGAUGAAGAUUAGAGGACUAUAAAGCUCCGUCUUUCUCAGGGCUUCCAACAUAACAGUCCUAAAUCUUGUAACACCACUUUGUGGUCACUUUUUUGUUUGUAUUUUUGCAGUGUCUAUUUAAUUUCUUCUCUUUCACCUUUGUCUUAUGUUUGCCCAUUUUAAGAUGACUGAAUACCACCUGAUAGUGUAUUUAUACUUCAUUUCAUAUCUCUUUAGGUUUUAAUGUACAGAAGCGAAACUUUUCUAUGGAACAUAAUUCUGGUGAAGGUUCUGUCUUUAGUGCUGAUUUAUCAUCUAAGGAAGAUUGAGUUUUUGCAAGACAGAAGAAUCAGACGCAUUUAAACAAUGGUGCAAACACAAACUCAUUAUUUUUGCCUCUGAUAAUGCUCAGAUGUCCGAUCAGUGAGCAUUGAACAAGUGCCAAGGAAGCAAACUUCUGUAUUCCACUAAGAAUUUCCACCUCUUUCUCCCAUUGAUGUGAAGGAUGUGCAUUUUCUUCCUUUUAUAGCAGUACAUGACUUAUUAAAAAAAUUAUAUAA